GCUGGCGUAGCUCAACUGGUAGAGCAGCUGACUUGUAAUCAGCAGGUUGCGGGUUCAAGUCCUGUCGCCAGCU
Molecule: transfer RNA, 73 nt
Organism: Geobacter sulfurreducens PCA
Lineage: Bacteria; Pseudomonadati; Thermodesulfobacteriota; Desulfuromonadia; Geobacterales; Geobacteraceae
Rfam family: tRNA
About the family: Transfer RNA (tRNA) molecules are approximately 80 nucleotides in length.
Source: Rfam